RNAcentral lists this ribosomal RNA (1565 nucleotides) under Aproteles bulmerae (Bulmer's fruit bat). RNAcentral describes it as "16S ribosomal RNA". It matches the Rfam family "Bacterial large subunit ribosomal RNA", at positions 426 to 2831 of the family's 2925-position model. The record is from RNAcentral. Lineage: Eukaryota; Metazoa; Chordata; Mammalia; Chiroptera; Pteropodidae.
ACAAAUACUAGCUCGAACCAUACAAAACACAACUUACAGAACCAAAUAAAACAAAACAUUUACACAAGUAAGAGUAUAGGAGAUAGAAAAUUCAAUAGACGCUAUAGAGAAAGUACCGCAAGGGAAAGAUGAAAGAUAUAUUAAAAGUAAAAAACAGCAAAGAUUAACCCUUGUACCUUUUGCAUAAUGAUUUAACUAGAAUAAUUUGACAAAGAGAACUUAAGCCAAACACCCCGAAACCAGACGAGCUACCUAGAAGCAGCAACAACGAGCAAACUCAUCUAUGUAGCAAAAUAGUGAGAAGACUCCUAGGUAGUGGUGAAAAGCCUAUCGAGCCUGGUGAUAGCUGGUUGUCCAGGACAGAAUCUAAGUUCAAUUCUAAGCCUUGCCUAAAAAAAUGUACAAAUUAAAUGUAGACUUAGAACAUAAUCCAAAAGGGUACAGCCUUUUGGACACAGGAUACAACCUUUACUAGAGAGUAAGUACAAAAAUCCACAUAGUUGGCCUAAAAGCAGCCACCAAUUAAGAAAGCGUUCAAGCUCAAUGAUUCCACAACACUAAUACAAAUAGUCACUACGAACCCCUAGUUUAACACUGGACUAUUCUAUUACUAAAUAGAAGAAAUACUGUUAAUAUGAGUAACAAGAAUUAAAUUCUCCACGCACAAGCUUAUAUCAGAACGGAUAACCCACUGAUAGUUAACAACAAGAUAAAUUCAACGCCACAGUUAAAGCCUUUAUCAANNNAAUUGUUAACCCAACACAGGAGUGCACUAAGGAAAGAUUAAAAGAAGUAAAAGGAACUCGGCAAACACAAACCCCGCCUGUUUACCAAAAACAUCACCUCCAGCAUUACAAUUAUUGGAGGCACUGCCUGCCCAGUGACACACGUUAAACGGCCGCGGUAUCCUGACCGUGCAAAGGUAGCAUAAUCAUUUGUUCUUUAAAUAGGGACUUGUAUGAACGGCCACACGAGGGUUUAACUGUCUCUUACUUCCAAUCAGUGAAAUUGACCUUCCCGUGAAGAGGCGGGAAUAUAUUAAUAAGACGAGAAGACCCUAUGGAGCUUUAAUUAAUUAGCCCAUAAACAAAAUAACAAUAACUCCAAGGAGCACAAAACACCGUUUAAUGGACUAACAAUUUAGGUUGGGGUGACCUCGGAAUACAAAAAAACUUCCGAGUGAUUAAAGUAUAGACUGACAAGUCAAAACGUAGUAUCACUAAUUGAUCCAAAUAUUUGAUCAACGGAGCAAGUUACCCUAGGGAUAACAGCGCAAUCCUAUUUGAGAGUCCAUAUCGAUAAUAGGGUUUACGACCUCGAUGUUGGAUCAGGACAUCCUAAUGGUGCAGCAGCUAUUAAUGGUUCGUUUGUUCAACGAUUAAAGUCCUACGUGAUCUGAGUUCAGACCGGAGUAAUCCAGGUCGGUUUCUAUCUAUUUUGUGCUUCUCCCAGUACGAAAGGACAAGAGAAGUAAGGCCAACUUAACAAUAAGCGCCUUAAACCUAACAGAUGAUAAAGUCUAAAUCUAGAAAAUCACACACAUUCAUAACCCUAGAACAGGGCAU